ACGGAAANGCCUCUUCGGAGGUNCUCNAGUGGCNAACGGGNUGAGUAACACGUGGGCNAUCUGCCCUGCACUUCGGGAUAAGCCUGGGAAACUGGGUCUAAUACCGGAUAGGACCUUUAGACGCAUGUCUUUUGGUGGAAAGCUUUUGCGGUGUGGGAUGGGCCCGCGGCCUAUCAGCUUGUUGGUGGGGUGAUGGCCUACCAAGGCGACGACGGGUAGCCGGCCUGAGAGGGUGUCCGGCCACACUGGGACUGANAUACGGCCCAGACUCCUACNGNAGGCANCAGUGGGGAAUAUUGCACAAUGGGCGCAAGCCUGAUGCAGCGACGCCGCGUGGGGGAUGACGGCCUUCGGGUUGUACACCUCUUUCAC
Molecule: ribosomal RNA, 372 nt
Filed under: Mycobacterium avium complex sp.
Lineage: Bacteria; Bacillati; Actinomycetota; Actinomycetes; Mycobacteriales; Mycobacteriaceae
Description: partial 16S ribosomal RNA
Rfam family: Bacterial small subunit ribosomal RNA
Source: RNAcentral